RNAcentral lists this ribosomal RNA (457 nucleotides) under uncultured bacterium. RNAcentral describes it as "bacterial SSU rRNA". It matches the Rfam family "Bacterial small subunit ribosomal RNA", at positions 8 to 507 of the family's 1533-position model. The record is from RNAcentral.
AGAGUUUGAUCAUUGGCUACAGAACGAACGCUGGCGGCAGGCUUAACACAUGCAAGUCGAACGGGUGUAGCAAUACAUCAGUGGCAGACGGGUGAGUAACACGUGGGAACCUUCCUAGAGGUACGGAACAACUCAGGGAAACUUGAGCUAAUACCGUAUACGCUCUUGCGAGGAAAGAUUUAUCGCCUUUAGACGGGCCCGCGUCGGAUUAGCUAGUUGGUGGGGUAACGGCCUACCAAGGCGACGAUCCGUAGCUGAUCUGAGAGGAUGAUCAGCCACACUGGGACUGAGACACGGCCCAGACUCCUACGGGAGGCAGCAGUGGGGAAUCUUGGACAAUGGGCGCAAGCCUGAUCCAGCCAUGCCGCGUGAGUGAAGAAGGCCUUCGGGUUGUAAAGCUCUUCUGCCAGGGACGAUAAUGACGGUACCUGGAGAAUAAGCCCCGGCAAACUUCGUG